This 933-nucleotide ribosomal RNA is filed under the name uncultured organism. RNAcentral's name for it is "bacterial SSU rRNA". It matches the Rfam family "Bacterial small subunit ribosomal RNA", at positions 168 to 1119 of the family's 1533-position model. The record is from RNAcentral.
ACCCGAUAUGCUCACAGGAUCGGGAGAUUGAGUGAGGAAAGGCUUCGGUGCUUGAGGAGGGAUCUGCGGCCCAUCAGCUAGUUGGUGAGGUAACGGCUCACCAAGGCGAAGACGGGUAGGGGGUGUGAGAGCAUGGCCCCCCACAAUGGGACUGAGACACGGNCCAUACUCCUACGGGAGGCAGCAGCGGGGAAUAUUGCGCAAUGGACGGAAGUCAGACGCAGCGACGCCGCGUGGGUGAGGAAGGCCUUCGGGUUGUAAAGCCCUUUUCAGGGGAGCGAGAAAGGACGGUACCCUUGGAAUAAGCGUCGGCUAACUACGUGCCAGCAGCCGCGGUAAGACGUAGGACGCAAGCGUUAUCCGGAUUUACUGGGCGUAAAGCGCCUGUAGGCGGUCAAGUAAGUCGGAUGUGAAAGCCCCGUGCUCAACGCGGGGAAGCCAUUCGAUACUGCGUGACUAGAGAACGGCAGAGGGAAACGGAAUUUCUGGUGUAGCGGUAAAAUGCGCAGAGAUCAGAAAGAACACCGAUGGCGAAGGCAGUUUCCUAGGCCGCAUCUGACGCUGAGAGGCGAAAGCCAGGGGAGCAAACAGGAUUAGAGACCCUGGUAGUCCUAGCUGUAAACGAUGGAUGCUAGGUGUGGGCCGGAAAGGUCCGUGCCGUAGUUAACGCGAUAAGCAUCCCGCCUGGGGAGUACGGUCGCAAAGGCUAAAACUCAAACGAAUUGACGGGGACCCGCACAAGCAGCGGAGCGUGUGGUUUAAUUCGAUGCUACACGCAGAACCUUACCUGGGCUUGACAUGUAGGUGGUAGUGAAGUGAAAGCGGAGCGACCCUUCGGGGAGCCUACACAGGUGCUGCAUGGCUGUCGUCAGCUCGUGCCGUGAGGUGUCGGGUUAAGUCCCGUAACGAGCGCAACCCUUGUCCUUAGUUACA